This 127-nucleotide ribosomal RNA is filed under the name Clostridioides difficile. RNAcentral describes it as "partial 23S ribosomal RNA". It matches the Rfam family "Bacterial large subunit ribosomal RNA", at positions 2799 to 2925 of the family's 2925-position model. Lineage: Bacteria; Bacillati; Bacillota; Clostridia; Peptostreptococcales; Peptostreptococcaceae. The record is from RNAcentral.
UCAAGAUAAGAUUUCCCACCGCAAGGGUAAGACCCCAGAAAGACUAUCUGGUUGAUAGGUCGAAGGUGUAAGUGCAGCAAUGUAUUUAGCUUAUCGAUACUAAUAGGUCGAGGACUUGACCAAUUUU